AUUGAACGCUGGCGGCAUGCCUUACACAUGCAAGUCGAACGGCAGCGCGGACUUCGGUCUGGCGGCGAGUGGCGAACGGGUGAGCAAUACAUCGGAACGUACCCUGUUGUGGGGGAUAACUAGUCGAAAGAUUAGCUAAUACCGCGUACGACCUGAGAGUGAAAGUGGGGGACCGCAAGGCCUCACGCAGCAGGAGCGGCCGAUGUCUGAUUAGCUAGUUGGUGGGGUAAAGGCCCACCAAGGCGACGAUCAGUAGCUGGUCUGAGAGGACGAUCAGCCACACUGGGACUGAGACACGGCCCAGACUCCUACGGGAGGCAGCAGUGGGGAAUUUUGGACAAUGGGGGCAACCCUGAUCCAGCAAUGCCGCGUGUGUGAAGAAGGCCUUCGGGUUGUAAAGCACUUUUGUCCGGAAAGAAAUCGCGCUGGUUAAUACCUGGCGUGGAUGACGGUACCGGAAGAAUAAGCACCGGCUAACUACGUGCCAGCAGCCGCCGUAA
RNAcentral lists this ribosomal RNA (500 nucleotides) under uncultured bacterium. Its description in RNAcentral is "partial 16S ribosomal RNA". It matches the Rfam family "Bacterial small subunit ribosomal RNA", at positions 29 to 523 of the family's 1533-position model. The record is from RNAcentral.